AACGAACGCUGGCGGCAUGCCUAACACAUGCAAGUCGAACGAGACCUUCGGGUCUAGUGGCGCACGGGUGCGUAACGCGUGGGAACCUGCCCUUAGGUUCGGAAUAACUCCCCGAAAGGGGUGCUAAUACCGGAUAAUGUCUUCGGACCAAAGAUUUAUCGCCUUUGGUUGGGCCCGCGUUGGAUUGGCUAGUUGUUAGGGUAAAAGCCUACCAAGGCGACGAUCCAUAGCUGGUCGGAGAGGAUGAUCCGCCACACGGGGACUGAGACACGGCCCAGACCCCUAGGGGGGGCAGCGGGGGGGAAUAUGGAAAAGGGGGCGAAAGCCUGAACCAGCAUGGCCGGGGGAGGAAAGAGGGCCUGAGGGUUGAAAAGCUUUUUUACCCGGGAGGAAAAUGACAGUACCGGGAAAAAAAGCCCCGGCUAACCCCGUG
This 433-nucleotide ribosomal RNA is filed under the name uncultured bacterium. RNAcentral's name for it is "partial 16S ribosomal RNA". It matches the Rfam family "Bacterial small subunit ribosomal RNA", at positions 29 to 507 of the family's 1533-position model. The record is from RNAcentral.